Balaenoptera acutorostrata (minke whale) is the source of this 126-nucleotide small nuclear RNA. Lineage: Eukaryota; Metazoa; Chordata; Mammalia; Artiodactyla; Balaenopteridae. The record is from RefSeq and is a predicted model, not a curated record.
GUGUUGUAUGAAAGGAGAGAAGGUUAGCACUGCCCUUGACAAGGAUGGAAGAAGCUCUCAGGCCUGACAACAUGCAUAUGGUUAAGGCACUGCCACCUAUUUUGUGGCAUCUAACCAUUUUUUUUU